RNAcentral lists this unclassified non-coding RNA (22 nucleotides) under Mus musculus (house mouse). Its description in RNAcentral is "oocyte_clustered_small_RNA12146". The record is from RNAcentral. Lineage: Eukaryota; Metazoa; Chordata; Mammalia; Rodentia; Muridae.
UGAAGAUAGGAAGCAGGUUGGG